RNAcentral lists this ribosomal RNA (253 nucleotides) under uncultured bacterium. RNAcentral's name for it is "partial 16S ribosomal RNA". It matches the Rfam family "Bacterial small subunit ribosomal RNA", at positions 524 to 776 of the family's 1533-position model. The record is from RNAcentral.
GACGAACCGUGCAAACGUUGUUCGGAAUCACUGGGCUUAAAGGGCGCGUAGGCGGGUGGCCAAGUCAGGGGUGAAAUCUUUCGGCUCAACCGGAAAAUUGCCUUUGAUACUGGUCGUCUCGAGGGAGGUAGGGGCAUGUGGAACUUCCGGUGGAGCGGUGAAAUGCGUUGAUAUCGGAAGGAACGCCGGUGGCGAAAGCGACGUGCUGGACCUUUUCUGACGCUGAGGCGCGAAAGCUAGGGGAGCGAACGGG